RNAcentral lists this ribosomal RNA (253 nucleotides) under uncultured bacterium. RNAcentral's name for it is "partial 16S ribosomal RNA". It matches the Rfam family "Bacterial small subunit ribosomal RNA", at positions 524 to 776 of the family's 1533-position model. The record is from RNAcentral.
GACAGAGGGUGCGAACGUUGCUCGGAGUUACUGGGCGUAAAGCGCGUGUAGGCGGGUGAUCAAGUCAGGUGUGAAAUCCCCAGGCUCAACCUGGGAACUGCACUUGAAACUGGUUGCCUUGAGUGCUGGAGAGGGAAGCGGAAUUCCUGGUGUAGAGGUGAAAUUCGUAGAUAUCAGGAGGAACACCGGUGGCGAAGGCGGCUUCCUGGACAGUUACUGACGCUGAGACGCGAAAGCGUGGGGAGCAAACAGG